GUAUAAGGUGUGAGCCUGCCCGGUGCUCGAAGGUUAAGGGAUGCGUCAGUCGCAAGAUGAAGCGUUGAAUUGAAGCCCGAGUAAACGGCGGCCGUAACUAUAACGGUCCUAAGGUAGCGAAAUUCCUUGUCGGUUAAAUACCGACCUGCAUGAAUGGCGUAACGAGAUGGGAGCUGUCUCAACCAGAGAUUCAGUGAAAUUGUAGUGGAGGUGAAAAUUCCUCCUACCCGCGGCAAGACGGAAAGACCCCGUGGACCUUUACUACAACUUAGCACUGCUAAUGGGAAUAUCAUGCGCAGGAUAGGUGGGAGGCUUUGAAGUAAGGGCUUUGGCU
Molecule: ribosomal RNA, 334 nt
Filed under: Helicobacter pylori
Lineage: Bacteria; Pseudomonadati; Campylobacterota; Epsilonproteobacteria; Campylobacterales; Helicobacteraceae
Description: bacterial LSU rRNA
Rfam family: Bacterial large subunit ribosomal RNA
Source: RNAcentral